This 69-nucleotide transfer RNA is filed under the name Methylobacterium sp. PvR107. RNAcentral's name for it is "tRNA-Lys". It matches the Rfam family "tRNA", at positions 10 to 71 of the family's 71-position model. From Rfam's summary of the family: Transfer RNA (tRNA) molecules are approximately 80 nucleotides in length. Their secondary structure includes four short double-helical elements and three loops (D, anti-codon, and T loops). Lineage: Bacteria; Pseudomonadati; Pseudomonadota; Alphaproteobacteria; Hyphomicrobiales; Methylobacteriaceae. The record is from RNAcentral.
GCCCAAAACGGCGAGGGAAGCUGACUCUUAAUCAGCGGGUCCUAGGUUCGAACCCUAGUGCGCCCACCA